RNAcentral lists this ribosomal RNA (1536 nucleotides) under Klebsiella pneumoniae. RNAcentral describes it as "bacterial SSU rRNA". It matches the Rfam family "Bacterial small subunit ribosomal RNA". The record is from RNAcentral. Lineage: Bacteria; Pseudomonadati; Pseudomonadota; Gammaproteobacteria; Enterobacterales; Enterobacteriaceae.
UUGAAGAGUUUGAUCAUGGCUCAGAUUGAACGCUGGCGGCAGGCCUAACACAUGCAAGUCGAGCGGUAGCACAGAGAGCUUGCUCUCGGGUGACGAGCGGCGGACGGGUGAGUAAUGUCUGGGAAACUGCCUGAUGGAGGGGGAUAACUACUGGAAACGGUAGCUAAUACCGCAUAACGUCGCAAGACCAAAGUGGGGGACCUUCGGGCCUCAUGCCAUCAGAUGUGCCCAGAUGGGAUUAGCUAGUAGGUGGGGUAACGGCUCACCUAGGCGACGAUCCCUAGCUGGUCUGAGAGGAUGACCAGCCACACUGGAACUGAGACACGGUCCAGACUCCUACGGGAGGCAGCAGUGGGGAAUAUUGCACAAUGGGCGCAAGCCUGAUGCAGCCAUGCCGCGUGUGUGAAGAAGGCCUUCGGGUUGUAAAGCACUUUCAGCGGGGAGGAAGGCGGUGAGGUUAAUAACCUCACCGAUUGACGUUACCCGCAGAAGAAGCACCGGCUAACUCCGUGCCAGCAGCCGCGGUAAUACGGAGGGUGCAAGCGUUAAUCGGAAUUACUGGGCGUAAAGCGCACGCAGGCGGUCUGUCAAGUCGGAUGUGAAAUCCCCGGGCUCAACCUGGGAACUGCAUUCGAAACUGGCAGGCUAGAGUCUUGUAGAGGGGGGUAGAAUUCCAGGUGUAGCGGUGAAAUGCGUAGAGAUCUGGAGGAAUACCGGUGGCGAAGGCGGCCCCCUGGACAAAGACUGACGCUCAGGUGCGAAAGCGUGGGGAGCAAACAGGAUUAGAUACCCUGGUAGUCCACGCCGUAAACGAUGUCGAUUUGGAGGUUGUGCCCUUGAGGCGUGGCUUCCGGAGCUAACGCGUUAAAUCGACCGCCUGGGGAGUACGGCCGCAAGGUUAAAACUCAAAUGAAUUGACGGGGGCCCGCACAAGCGGUGGAGCAUGUGGUUUAAUUCGAUGCAACGCGAAGAACCUUACCUGGUCUUGACAUCCACAGAACUUUCCAGAGAUGGAUUGGUGCCUUCGGGAACUGUGAGACAGGUGCUGCAUGGCUGUCGUCAGCUCGUGUUGUGAAAUGUUGGGUUAAGUCCCGCAACGAGCGCAACCCUUAUCCUUUGUUGCCAGCGGUUAGGCCGGGAACUCAAAGGAGACUGCCAGUGAUAAACUGGAGGAAGGUGGGGAUGACGUCAAGUCAUCAUGGCCCUUACGACCAGGGCUACACACGUGCUACAAUGGCAUAUACAAAGAGAAGCGACCUCGCGAGAGCAAGCGGACCUCAUAAAGUAUGUCGUAGUCCGGAUUGGAGUCUGCAACUCGACUCCAUGAAGUCGGAAUCGCUAGUAAUCGUAGAUCAGAAUGCUACGGUGAAUACGUUCCCGGGCCUUGUACACACCGCCCGUCACACCAUGGGAGUGGGUUGCAAAAGAAGUAGGUAGCUUAACCUUCGGGAGGGCGCUUACCACUUUGUGAUUCAUGACUGGGGUGAAGUCGUAACAAGGUAACCGUAGGGGAACCUGCGGUUGGAUCACCUCCUU